CUUUAUCUCCCCCUCCCCCACCUCCCGGUCCUCGUCCCUGGUGACGCCCCCAAUCGAGCCGAGCUCCUCGCGAUUCCCAAUCCCCGCACGCCUCCUCCUCCGGCCCCGCCGCCGCCGCCGCCGCCGCCGCCUCGCCACAGGCUUAGAGUUAUUCAAGAUGGAACACAAGGAGGCGGGUUGCCAGCAGCCGGAGGGCCCAAUCCUAUGCGUUAAUAACUGUGGCUUCUUUGGCAGCGCCGCGACCAUGAACAUGUGCUCCAAGUGCCACAAGGAGAUGGUCAUGAAGGAGGAGCAGGCCAAGCUGGCUGCCUCCUCCUUCGAUAGCAUCGUCAACGGUGGCGAUGGUGGGAAAGCACCUGUUGUUGCGGCUGUUGCUGCGAGCGCGGAGGUGGCGGUUGCUCAAGUUGACGUGAAGGCGCUCGUUGUGCAGCCUGCUGCUGAUGUUGCAGGCACCAGCGAAGCUGUUGCCGUGAGCCCCAAGAGGAAGGAGGGGCCCAAUCGGUGCUCAACUUGCAGGAAGAGGGUUGGGCUGACGGGAUUCAACUGCCGAUGUGGUAACAUGUACUGUUCACUGCAUCGCUAUUCCGACAAGCAUGACUGCCAGUUCGACUACCGGACUGCAGCUAGGGAUGCCAUCGCCAAGGCCAACCCGGUGGUGAAGGCAGAGAAGCUCGACAAGAUUUAGGUGUCUUACAGGGAAGAAAUGGUUGCAAUCUGUGAAGGUUCAUCAUCCGUCUUUGCUGUGCCAAUUGCCAUCCUUGCACCUCCCUUUCUUGUUGGCUGCCGCAUUUCCUAAAUUGUACGGCACCGUGAUGCACACUGCGUCGUGGCAGCUGCAAGAACUCAGUCCUCUCAGUCAUUCCGAAUGGUUUGCGUGUUGUGUAACUUUAUUCAUGGUGGUUUUUUCGGUCAGUAUUGUGGCUUCUCAUUUUAGCUAGCUCUGUUAUGUACUAUUGUCCCAUGUGUGUCAAAUUCUGAUCAGUAAUAGUAGCCAGCAAUGGUUCAUCAUAUUGCGUGUGAGUUCAUUUUACAUGUUUGAGUAUGUUCAGUUCAAUUAUGUUUAUGGUUGUAUAGUUGGUGUUCUCACUCUUGUUAGUUCGGAAAAUUGUACUAGAUCACCACUACUUUAGUGAUCUAUACUCUCUUAUAUUUCUUUACGGAGGGAGUACUUGGUUAGCUCUGCACUCAAAUAUACAUCCAAAAUAGAAGAGCAAUGAGAAACACGGUUAUGGUUCUUGAGAUUUAGUUCUAAAACAUGUGAGCAAUGGCAAACAUGGAUACAGUUCUUGUAUGUCAUUGCUCUAAUCUGAUGAUAGGAUGAAAAGAAUGGAGGCCUUGUGGUUGAUCACAAGUUGAAAAAUUAUGCCUUGGG
RNAcentral lists this ribosomal RNA (1372 nucleotides) under Triticum aestivum (bread wheat). Its description in RNAcentral is "partial small subunit ribosomal RNA". Lineage: Eukaryota; Viridiplantae; Streptophyta; Magnoliopsida; Poales; Poaceae. The record is from RNAcentral.